CAGUCGCCGCGGUAAUACGUAGGUGGCAAGCGUUGUCCGGAAUUAUUGGGCGUAAAGGGCUCGCAGGCGGUUUCUUAAGUCUGCUGUGAAAGCCCCCGGCUCAACCGGGGAGGGUCAUUGGAAACUGGGAAACUUGAGCGCAGAAGAGGAGAGUGGAAUUCCACGUGUAGCGGUGAAAUGCGUAGAGAUGUGGAGGAACACCAGUGGCGAAGGCGACUCUCUGGUCUGUAACUGACGCUGAGGAGCGAAAGCGUGGGGAGCGAACAGGAUUAGAUACCCCCGUAGUCCCUGUCUCUUAUAC
Molecule: ribosomal RNA, 301 nt
Filed under: uncultured bacterium
Lineage: Bacteria
Description: partial 16S ribosomal RNA
Rfam family: Bacterial small subunit ribosomal RNA
Source: RNAcentral